Molecule: long non-coding RNA, 725 nt
Filed under: Olea europaea (common olive)
Lineage: Eukaryota; Viridiplantae; Streptophyta; Magnoliopsida; Lamiales; Oleaceae
Description: long non-coding RNA (OEUR_LNC013055)
Source: RNAcentral
CUCUUAAAUAAAUCUCAUAGAUUUUGAAAUCCAAGAGAGAUAACCUAACCAGUCUCAAAACUCUAAGUUGAAACUUUAGAAUGGCAAAUAGGAAAUAAAUUCACAGGGAAAGAAGUCCAAGUGAGUUCAUAGAUAGAUAGAUAGGCAACAUGAAGAUAAAAUCCUAAUCCUCUUACAGGGGCCGACCUGGUUCUGCGCAGUUGAUACCUCAGUCGGCCAGUGGUUCUCUAGGCGAUAUCAGCUCCACCUCCUGCAAGUUUUUACAACGAUUAUGAAAAUGCAAAGUGGAGUUUCUCAAAAAUACACUAAGAAUGAAUGAAGGAAUGUUGUGUAUAUGUGUUUGUAAGCCUCUAGUGGUUGAAUAGCAAAUGACAACUACUCAACAAGGCAGAGGAGGCAAAUAUUUCGUCUCCAAAAUCUAAUUGGAAUGCUAAAAUUUUAGGAAUAAUUAUAUUCACGGAAACUUCCAACACGCCACUUUACUUAUAAAACGAACUUCUAGCACAUCACACACUGAUAAGAUACAAAGCCUCUCUAAUCUUUUCUAAACAAAAUCUAAAUCAACUAAAAUCUGGAAAACUCAAUCAUAUUCUGUUUUAACAAAAUGCACUUACGUUGCAUGCAAAUGAAAACUUGAAUUGCAAGAUUUUUUAAUGAUUUGAUAACUUAUUAGAAAAGAAGUUAUUUUACAGGUCGUACCUGGAAAACCAUAUUGUAAAUUGAGU